This is a small nucleolar RNA of Aegilops tauschii subsp. strangulata, 85 nucleotides long. The record is from RefSeq and is a predicted model, not a curated record. Lineage: Eukaryota; Viridiplantae; Streptophyta; Magnoliopsida; Poales; Poaceae.
GGGAGAAGUGAUGAUGCGUUAUCAAUAGACAUCUCUGAAUCUAAGAUGAUGAACAAUGUCAUCAUGCAACACCAUCUGAUCUUAC